RNAcentral lists this ribosomal RNA (671 nucleotides) under uncultured bacterium. Its description in RNAcentral is "bacterial SSU rRNA". It matches the Rfam family "Bacterial small subunit ribosomal RNA", at positions 8 to 648 of the family's 1533-position model. The record is from RNAcentral.
AGAGUUUGAUCAUGGCUCAGAACGAACGCUGGCGGCGUGGAUAAGACAUGCAAGUCGUGCGACAGACCAGGAAUUGAUUACUUCGGUUUGAUUUUCCUGACGAUGAGCGGCGAACGGGUGCGUAACACGUGAGAAAUCUGCCCUUAAGUUCGGGAUAGCCCUACGAAAGUAGGAUUAAUACCGGAUAAGGCCCUGGGAGGGCAUCUUCCCUUGGCUAAAGCUCGGUUAUAGAGCGCUUUUGGAUGAUCUCGCGGUCUAUCAGCUUGUUGGUGAGGUAACGGCUCACCAAGGCUAUGACGGAUAGCUGGUCUGAGAGGAUGAUCAGCCUCACUGGAACUGAGACACGGUCCAGACACCUACGGGUGGCAGCAGUCGAGAAUCAUUCACAAUGGGCGAAAGCCUGAUGGUGCGACGCCGCGUGGGGGAUGAAGGGCUUCGGUUCGUAAACCCCUGUCAUCUGUGAGUAAGACUCCCAAUAAAAGCUUGGGAGGUUGAUAUUAGCAGAAGAGGAAGGGACGGCUAACUCUGUGCCAGCAGCCGCGGUAAUACAGAGGUCCCAAGCGUUGUUCGGAUUUACUGGGCGUAAAGAGUGCGUAGGCGGCUAGAAAAGUUUGGUGUGAAAUCUUCGGGCUUAACCCGGAAACUGCACUGAAAACUAUCUGGCUAGAGGA